RNAcentral lists this ribosomal RNA (253 nucleotides) under uncultured bacterium. Its description in RNAcentral is "partial 16S ribosomal RNA". It matches the Rfam family "Bacterial small subunit ribosomal RNA", at positions 524 to 776 of the family's 1533-position model. The record is from RNAcentral.
UACGAAGGGGGCUAGCGUUGCUCGGAAUCACUGGGCGUAAAGCGCACGUAGGCGGCCUCUUAAGUCGGUGGUGAAAUCCUGGAGCUCAACUCCAGAACUGCCUUCGAUACUGGGAGUCUCGAGUUCGGGGGAGGUGAGUGGAACUGCGAGUGUAGAGGUGAAAUUCGUAGAUAUUCGCAAGAACACCAGUGGCGAAGGCGGCUCACUGGCCCGAUACUGACGCUGAGGUGCGAAAGCGUGGGGAGCAAACAGG